CAGUCGCCGCGGUAAUACGGAGGGCGCGAGCGUUACCCGGAUUUACUGGGCGUAAAGGGCGUGUAGGCGGCCUGGGGCGUCCCAUGUGAAAGGCCACGGCUCAACCGUGGAGGAGCGUGGGAUACGCUCAGGCUAGAGGGUGGGAGAGGGUGGUGGAAUUCCCGGAGUAGCGGUGAAAUGCGCAGAUACCGGGAGGAACGCCGAUGGCGAAGGCAGCCACCUGGUCCACUUCUGACGCUGAGGCGCGAAAGCAUGGGGAGCAAACCGGAUUAGAUACCCCCGUAGUCCCUGUCUCUUAUAC
This 301-nucleotide ribosomal RNA is filed under the name uncultured bacterium. RNAcentral describes it as "partial 16S ribosomal RNA". It matches the Rfam family "Bacterial small subunit ribosomal RNA", at positions 509 to 807 of the family's 1533-position model. The record is from RNAcentral.